RNAcentral lists this transfer RNA (76 nucleotides) under Lachnoanaerobaculum umeaense. Its description in RNAcentral is "tRNA-Asn". It matches the Rfam family "tRNA". Rfam says of the family: Transfer RNA (tRNA) molecules are approximately 80 nucleotides in length. Their secondary structure includes four short double-helical elements and three loops (D, anti-codon, and T loops). Further hydrogen bonds mediate the characteristic L-shaped molecular structure. tRNAs have two regions of fundamental functional importance: the anti-codon, which is responsible for specific mRNA codon recognition, and the 3' end, to which the tRNAs corresponding amino acid is attached (by aminoacyl-tRNA synthetases). tRNAs cope with the degeneracy of the genetic code in two manners: having more than one tRNA (with a specific anti-codon) for a particular amino acid; and 'wobble' base-pairing, i.e. permitting non-standard base-pairing at the 3rd anti-codon position. RNAcentral also lists the same sequence under 3 other names. Lineage: Bacteria; Bacillati; Bacillota; Clostridia; Lachnospirales; Lachnospiraceae. The record is from RNAcentral.
UCCUUGAUAGCUCAGUCGGUAGAGCAUGCGGCUGUUAACCGCAGUGUCGUAGGUUCGAGUCCUACUCAGGGAGCUA